UUUUGCCUACGGGGGGCAGCAGUGGGGAAUAUUGCACAAUGGGGGAAACCCUGAUGCAGCGACGCCGCGUGAAGGAAGAAGUAUUUCGGUAUGUAAACUUCUAUCAGCAGGGAAGAAAAUGACGGUACCUGACUAAGAAGCCCCGGCUAACUACGUGCCAGCAGCCGCGGUAAUACGUAGGGGGCAAGCGUUAUCCGGAUUUACUGGGUGUAAAGGGAGCGUAGGCGGUAAUGCAAGUCAGAAGUGAAAGCCCGGGGCUCAACUCCGGGACUGCUUUUGAAACUGUGUUGCUAGAUUGCAGGAGG
RNAcentral lists this ribosomal RNA (305 nucleotides) under uncultured bacterium. RNAcentral's name for it is "bacterial SSU rRNA". It matches the Rfam family "Bacterial small subunit ribosomal RNA", at positions 333 to 655 of the family's 1533-position model. The record is from RNAcentral.